CUCUAUUCAGACUGCCCAGAUCAACUGGGAGGAAGGUGGGGACGACGUCAGGUCAGUAUGGCCCUUACGCCUAGGGCUGCACACGUACUACAAUGCCCAGUACAAUGAGAACCGAUACCGCGAGGUGGAGGAAAUCUGCAAAACUGGGCCCAGUUCGGAUUGGAGGCUGCAACUCGCCUCCAUGAAGUUGGAAUCGCUAGUAAUGCCGUAUCAGCUACGACGGCGUGAAUACGUUCCCGGGUCUU
This 245-nucleotide ribosomal RNA is filed under the name uncultured Verrucomicrobiales bacterium. RNAcentral's name for it is "partial 16S ribosomal RNA". It matches the Rfam family "Bacterial small subunit ribosomal RNA", at positions 1138 to 1382 of the family's 1533-position model. Lineage: Bacteria; Pseudomonadati; Verrucomicrobiota; Verrucomicrobiia; Verrucomicrobiales. The record is from RNAcentral.